UGCAACGCCAUAUAAAUGUUUUUUACAUGCAAUAAACAAUUUAUGACAAUACUAAUAGCAUGUAGCGACAUCUUCAUCAACACACAAUGUUUUUAUGGCUCUAACGCUACGAUACUUUAUGUGAAACAUGUACACUUUGGUGUCAGUUUUUUUUUUUUUUGCCCUGAAAAGUUCAAAUUACUUGCAAACCAAUGCCAUAAUCUGUUAUUCCUACAUUCUGGGUAAUAGACCAAUCAAUUUAAAACUUCUUGCUGUUACGUAGAGGCUGCAUGGAACAAUUUAUUAGCUGGACAAUUCGUUUCGCUAGCAUGUGGUGCCAUUCUGUUGGUUGAUACGGUUCGAACGAGCCCUUAUUGGUUCAAAUUGGUCACUCCUGUGCGAAUAAAGAAGGUCGUGUUAUUACAUUUAUAGUUACCAGCUUUAGGUGCUCUUUUAUGUUAUAAGAUUUGUGGUAGAGAGAGACUUUGCUUUUAUAUGGGCUGCAUCAUAAGUUGAUCCUGAUGUAGAGCAGGGGUGUCCAACCAACUCCAACUCUCCCUGCUGAUUACCUGGAUCAGGUGUGUCAGUUAGCAGCUGAUUGGAUAAACACACUUGAUCUAGGUAAUCAGUAUUAGCUGGGGAAAGCAGGGUUGUGAAAACAGCAGGACAGUAGGUCUCGAGGUACAGAAGCACAUCUCAUCUGCCCCUCUCCCCCCACCAAGGGAAAGAGAGCCUCUCUGGACGCUCCUGCUCCAGCUGCCAAAAAGGAGAAAAGAAAGCAAGGCAGAGGAGGACAGGUGGCAUGACCGAAAGGAGGAGGACAUUGCUCCUGGCCCAUGGAAGUCGUGCCAGGCAGUACCUCUGGGCCCAUCUUUGACACCACCCAGGCCUGGUCUCCUCUCAGUCUGUUCUAGUCACACAAUAGUAGACAAUACAAAUGCAAAUGCAGCAAGAAGGAUAGCAGCUGAAUUGGUUCAGAUGGAUACCCCUCACACCUCAGGAAUUCUACGUUUUUCUGUCCAUCGUCAUGUUAAGUGGCCUUGUCACACUGCAUCACUGCACAGACUACUGGAAACAGAAGUUCCCGUAUAACUUCUCGUAUCCCAGUAAGAAGAUGAUGCGGAGCGGUUUUAAACUCAUCAUGUGGUCGCUUCAACUAAGCAACCCAGAUGAAAAUGAAGACAAUGACAGGAAAAGAAUCAGUGGUGACCACGAAAAACUGUUCAAAAUAAAGCCACGCUACUGUGAUUUGGUGAAAUCCUGCCAGGCUCAUUUCCAGCUAUUACAGAACAUUUCAAUUGAUGAGCGGAAGGUGGCAAGCAAUGCAUGUAUCAUCUUAUCAGGACAACCCGCAUUGGCUAUCCACAGACCCAGUCUAGCGCUCUGUGAAGCUUCUACCUGUGGUGCACGGCCCGGUCUUUCACUGGGUCAGUGGACGUCUGCUGAGAUCUACAUCGCUGCCGUACUGGGCCCAGAGCGCUGCCGUGCACCUGCAGCAGGCCAGCGCUCAUUAAUCCGGGUCUAAGUGAAGACUCUUAAUCCUGGUGCCGAGCCCUGUGGGGCGGCGCAGAUUCAUUUCACAGAGGAAGCUGUGGCGCCGAACGCAACACCGCGGUGGGAAACGCAGCAGAGAAGCCAACUGGUUUAGGUUUACUUUUCAAUUUAAAUGCUAAUGUAGACAAGUGAACGCGCGAUGCGCUGCGACGACACGGGCUUUGAACAGGGCGUUGAUUACACGCUGCUGAUAACAAAACAGAAACAGAUAGAGAGGUGAAAGCCGCAUAACUGACCUGAUUCAUCGUCUCCUGCCUCUGCACAUUUGCAUAUCAGAGAACAUGACUAUGUGGAGCCUUCUGAAGUCGCCCCAUGUAGCUUAAUGAAAUCACUGACAUUUCCCAGCUGCUGGGAGACUGGGAGGAAAGGCUCCAUUUCAUUUUGAGAUCAUUUCCAGUGGGACGCUAUAUAUUCAUCAAUACGCCUUCUUAAAAUGCACGGCGGCGUGACGCUCUGUGGCCCAGAGGCCAGAACACGCUGCAGCCUGUGCUAAUGACCACUGGUGGUAGUUAAUGCUGUGAUGGGGUCAGUGAGACAAAGAGACGGACACACGCUAAAUGAUGAUUCAUCAGACAUCGGAUGUCCGUCGCUUUGUGACGAGCUGCGGAACAGGAUGAGUUCUGAGAAAAGCAACUUGUGGCAAAUGGGUUGAGAGCAGUUCACUUUA
Betta splendens (Siamese fighting fish) is the source of this 2200-nucleotide long non-coding RNA. RefSeq lists it as uncharacterized. NCBI's taxonomy places the organism in Eukaryota, Metazoa, Chordata, Actinopteri, Anabantiformes, Osphronemidae. The record is from RefSeq and is a predicted model, not a curated record. The transcript has 3 exons.